UGGCGGCAGGCUUAACACAUGCAAGUCGAGCGGUAGCAGAUCUAGCUUGCCAGAUGCUGACGAGCGGCGGACGGGUGAGUAACGCGUAGGAACCUGCCCAGUAGUGGGGGAUAGCCCGGGGAAACUCGGAUUAAUACCGCAUACGCUCUACGGAGGAAAGAGGGGGCUUCGGCUCUCGCUAGGGGGGGGGGGGGUUAUGGGCCUGCGUGAGAUUAGCUAGUUGGUGAGGUAAUGGCUCACCAAGGCGACGAUCUCUAGCUGGUCUGAGAGGAUGAUCAGCCACACUGGGACUGAGACACGGCCCAGACUCCUACGGGAGGCAGCAGUGGGGAAUAUUGCACAAUGGGCGCAAGCCUGAUGCAGCCAUGCCGCGUGUGUGAAGAAGGCUUUCGGGUUGUAAAGCACUUUCAGUGGGGAGGAAGGCCUCGUAGUUAAUAGCUGCGAGGAUUGACGUUACCCACAGAAGAAGCACCGGCUAACUCCGUG
RNAcentral lists this ribosomal RNA (486 nucleotides) under uncultured bacterium. Its description in RNAcentral is "partial 16S ribosomal RNA". It matches the Rfam family "Bacterial small subunit ribosomal RNA", at positions 37 to 507 of the family's 1533-position model. The record is from RNAcentral.